This 301-nucleotide ribosomal RNA is filed under the name uncultured bacterium. RNAcentral describes it as "partial 16S ribosomal RNA". It matches the Rfam family "Bacterial small subunit ribosomal RNA", at positions 509 to 807 of the family's 1533-position model. The record is from RNAcentral.
CAGCCGCCGCGGUAAUACAGAGGGUGCGAGCGUUAAUCGGAUUUACUGGGCGUAAAGCGUGCGCAGGCGGUUAUAUAAGACAGAUGUGAAAUCCCCGGGCUCAACCUGGGAACUGCAUUUGUGACUGUAUAGCUAGAGUACGGCAGAGGGGGAUGGAAUUCCGCGUGUAGCAGUGAAAUGCGUAGAUAUGCGGAGGAACACCGAUGGCGAAGGCAAUCCCCUGGGCCUGUACUGACGCUCAUGCACGAAAGCGUGGGGAGCAAACAGGAUUAGAUACCCGAGUAGUCCCUGUCUCUUAUAC